This 427-nucleotide ribosomal RNA is filed under the name uncultured bacterium. Its description in RNAcentral is "bacterial SSU rRNA". It matches the Rfam family "Bacterial small subunit ribosomal RNA", at positions 355 to 775 of the family's 1533-position model. The record is from RNAcentral.
UGGGGAAUAUUGGACAAUGGGCGCAAGCCUGAUCCAGCAAUACCGCGUGUGUGAAGAAGGCCUGAGGGUUGUAAAGCACUUUCACUAGGGAGGAAAACCUGCCGGCCAAUACCCGGCAGCUUGACAUUACCUAUAGAAGAAGCACCGGCUAACUCCGUGCCAGCAGCAGCGGUAAUACGGAGGGUGCAAGCGUUAAUCGGAAUUACUGGGCGUAAAGCGUGCGUAGGCGGUUGUUUAAGUCAGAUGUGAAAGCCCCGGGCUUAACCUGGGAACUGCAUUUGAUACUGGGCAACUAGAGUUUAAUAGAGGAGAGUGGGAUUUCAGGUGUAGCGGUGAAAUGCGUAGAGAUCUGAAGGAACACCAGUGGCGAAGGCGACUCUCUGGAUUAAAACUGACGCUGAGGUACGAAAGCGUGGGUAGCAAACAG